UGGCACAGCGCACCCUGCAUCGGCAUGCUCGAGACGAGUGCGGGCGCGACCACCUUGUCCCACUUGAAGAUGGUGGCGGCGAACGUCAGUGCACUUCUCUACGCGCGCCGAUGCGGCUCACACACCCUCUUCCUGAACCCCGUCCACGUCCACCCAUCCGGUGAUGUACGCUCAUCUCCCCAUUUAUCCCAAAAUCUGGAUUGCACUUGCAUCUGUACGUACAUACAUAUGAAUAAGCACCAUUGUUCGCUUUAGUCUGGAUGCUUCAGUCUAUAAGCUAUCUGGAUGGCACCUGCAUCUGUUCAUGCAUAAAAUAAGCACCAUACUUCGGCCUAAUUUCUAUGUGUAAAUUUUGUUUAACUUUGACUGAAAAUAUAUACAAGUAAAUAUACAUGAUUGUUUCAUUUAAGCAUGCACAGAUUCUGUUCUGAUUACCUCCACUUUUUUUCACAACAAGCCAGCAAAGCAAAGAUUCAGUGAUGCUUGUUAUGGCCUUUGAAAAUUGUAAUUGUACCUAGUCUUGUAGGUUAAUUAUCUGAAAACACGAAAUUUUAGGGUGGUUCAUAGCUGUUGUUCAGGUCACUUCUUUAUAGGUUAACACUUGUUUCAUCCAUGCAUAUUUGUGCAGGAAGUAUUAUGUAGAACAGAGGAGAAGGGGCACAUGAUAUCAUCCCAGCUUGUUGGCUAACAUGCUCAUUUCAUUAGCUUUGCAAAGAUGUGAGUUAAGUAGCUUUAUACUAUAUAAAGUGUGCUGACCGGAGAUAGUUCUCUUCUCUGGUAGAAAGACAUGGAUGUGUUGCUGUAACACACAGCAAGACGUUGAGUAAACUUUUGCUUUCCUUUCAUUGGACUACAAAUUGACUAUUGUUAAGGUUCUAAUAAGUUUAGACAUACUUGUUAAUUCUGACCAUGCCUUUCUUAAGGACUGUAUUCAUGAAAUUUGUUUGUUGCAUAUGUUCGUACAUGUUCCUAUCUAAUUUAAUGAUGUGUGAAACUUCUGCCAAUCGACAUAGCACAACAAACUUUAGAAGUAGCUUUCUUCCAUCUGCAAAAGCUGAGAUGGAGAAGGAGAGACACACAAGUUUACAAUUGAAUAAGCUGCUUCCUGAGUGAGAGGUAGAUGCACCAGAUUUACCAAUGAAUAAACUGCUCCAUUAGGCACUAUUUUUCUUUUCUUUCCAAGUGACUGCUGCUCUUCUCUAGUGUAGUUCUCCAGGGCUCACCAAUUUUGUUAGACUGAACCUGAUUUGUAUAUUUGUAUGCAGAUUUCUCAACACUCAGAUUUAUGGAGUCUAAGGUUUGACAUUUAGGGGACUAUGGAUCUUUGGCUUUUGGUGUUGAGAUUGAUGUGCCCCUCGCUAUAUGUAAGUGGUGCUUAUGAUGUCGAUCCUUCUGCUAUGGAUUGUAGUUGGGCUUCACUGCCAUCGCAUUAAUACUAUUGAUGGCAGUGUCCCUGCUGUUGAGAAACCCAUUACGUCAGUUUUGGUGGUAUUUUUGCAUUGCCACUUAUCAAUUGUUUUAUUAUUGUUCUUGUCAAAUAGUUGUAUGCUUGAUAAUUGUUGAUGAUAUCUUAUGGUUGGAAAAGAAAUGUAUUUUUGGGCAAAAUGUCCACAUUCUUACAUAGGUCCAUUGUGGUCCCCUUCGUAGCCUGUUGGUUCUAUUUUUAUCAUAUAUCUUUUUUGUUCUAAGUGUUAAUUGUUGAGUGUCAACGACAUGUGGAUAUUGUUCUUCAGGUUAUUAUGGCUGAAACUUGGAUAAAACUAUGGGCAUACAAAAUACAUAUUUGUUUUUGUUGCCUUAUAAACAUGGUUGUGAACGAACUGAAUAUUGGCAAACAUGUAUAUAUCCAUUUUCACUUACUUUGUUGUUUCUGAAAGUGAAAGGGACAAAGGAUAGCGCAGAGAGCAGAGAACACAUGGGGUAUGUUGAAAUUUUUGGUCGAAUUUACAGUCCAUUAGCUGUCAUAAAUAUAUCACAACUAGCAUGCGUACAUCCUCACAACAUUGAUGAAGAUAUGCUUGAUAACUACUCCCUCCGUCCCAU
Molecule: long non-coding RNA, 2043 nt
Filed under: Hordeum vulgare
Lineage: Eukaryota; Viridiplantae; Streptophyta; Magnoliopsida; Poales; Poaceae
Description: long non-coding RNA (HVUL_LNC014274)
Source: RNAcentral